RNAcentral lists this ribosomal RNA (520 nucleotides) under uncultured bacterium. RNAcentral's name for it is "partial 16S ribosomal RNA". It matches the Rfam family "Bacterial small subunit ribosomal RNA", at positions 28 to 507 of the family's 1533-position model. The record is from RNAcentral.
GACGAACGCUGGCGGCGUGCCUAAUACAUGCAAGUCGAACGCACUCUCGUUUAGAUUGAAGGAGUUUGCUCCUGAUUGAUAAACAUUUGAGUGAGUGGCGGACGGGUGAGUAACACGUGGGUAACCUGCCCUAAAGUGGGGGAUAACAUUUGGAAACAGAUGCUAAUACCGCAUAAAACCUAACACCGCAUGGUGUAGGGUUGAAAGAUGGUUUCGGCUAUCACUUUAGGAUGGACCCGCGGUGCAUUAGUUAGUUGGUGAGGUAAAGGCUCACCAAGACCGUGAUGCAUAGCCGACCUGGGAGGGUAAUCGGCCACACUGGGACUGAGACACGGCCCAGACUCCUACGGGAGGCAGCAGUAGGGAAUCUUCCACAAUGGACGAAAGUCUGAUGGAGCAACGCCGCGUGAGUGAAGAAGGUGUUCGGAUCGUAAAACUCUGUUGUUGGAGAAGAAUGUAUCUGAUAGUAACUGAUCAGGUAGUGACGGUAUCCAAACAGAAAGCCACGGCUAACUACGUG